Molecule: ribosomal RNA, 484 nt
Filed under: uncultured bacterium
Lineage: Bacteria
Description: partial 16S ribosomal RNA
Rfam family: Bacterial small subunit ribosomal RNA
Source: RNAcentral
AUUGAACGCUGGCGGCAUGCUUUACACAUGCAAGUCGAACGGCAGCGCGGGCUUCGGCCUGGCGGCGAGUGGCGAACGGGUGAGUAAUACAUCGGCACGUGCCCAGUAGUGGGGGAUCGCUCGGCGAAAGCCGGAUUAAUACCGCAUACGACCUGAGGGUGAAAGCGGGGGAUCUUCGGACCUCGCGCUAUUGGCGCGGCCGAUGGCAGAUUAGCUAGUUGGUGGGGUAAAGGCUUACCAAGGCGACGAUCUGUAGCUGGUCUGAGAGGACGACCAGCCACACUGGGACUGAGACACGGCCCAGACUCCUACGGGAGGCAGCAGUGGGGAAUUUUGGACAAUGGGCGAAAGCCUGAUCCAGCAAUGCCGCGUGUGGGAUGAAGGCCUUCGGGUUGUAAAGUACUUUUGUAGGGAACGAAAAGGAUCGUGCUAAUACCACGGUUCGAUGACGGUACCCGAAGAAUAAGCACCGGCUAACUACGUG